GGGCGCGUAGCUCAGUUGGGAGAGCGCCUGCCUUACAAGCAGGUGGUCGGGGGUUCAAGUCCCUCCGCGCCCACCA
This 76-nucleotide transfer RNA is filed under the name Candidatus Cloacimonadota bacterium. RNAcentral's name for it is "Candidatus Cloacimonetes bacterium tRNA-Val". It matches the Rfam family "tRNA". Rfam says of the family: Transfer RNA (tRNA) molecules are approximately 80 nucleotides in length. Their secondary structure includes four short double-helical elements and three loops (D, anti-codon, and T loops). The record is from RNAcentral. Lineage: Bacteria; Pseudomonadati; Candidatus Cloacimonadota. RNAcentral also lists the same sequence under 1 other name.